CCUUGGAUGGGGAAUAACAGCUGGAAACAGCUGCUAAUACCGCAUGAUGCAGUUGAGUCGCAUGGCUCUGACUGCCAAAGAUUUAUCGCUCUGAGAUGGACUCGCGUCUGAUUAGCUAGUUGGUGGGGCAACGGCCCACCAAGGCGACGAUCAGUAGCCGGACUGAGAGGUUGGCCGGCCACAUUGGGACUGAGACACGGCCCAGACUCCUACGGAAGGCAGCAG
Molecule: ribosomal RNA, 225 nt
Filed under: uncultured bacterium
Lineage: Bacteria
Description: partial 16S ribosomal RNA
Rfam family: Bacterial small subunit ribosomal RNA
Source: RNAcentral